Molecule: ribosomal RNA, 444 nt
Filed under: uncultured soil bacterium
Lineage: Bacteria
Description: bacterial SSU rRNA
Rfam family: Bacterial small subunit ribosomal RNA
Source: RNAcentral
AGAACGAACGCUGGCGGCAUGCCUAAUACAUGCAAGUCGAACGAGAUCUUCGGAUCUAGUGGCGCACGGGUGCGUAACGCGUGGGAAUCUACCCUUGGGUUCGGAAUAACAGUUGGAAACGACUGCUAAUACCGGAUGAUGACGAAAGUCCAAAGAUUUAUCGCCCAGGGAUGAGCCCGCGUAGGAUUAGCUAGUUGGUGAGGUAAAGGCUCACCAAGGCUACGAUCCUUAGCUGGUCUGAGAGGAUGAUCAGCCACACUGGGACUGAGACACGGCCCAGACUCCUACGGGAGGCAGCAGUAGGGAAUAUUGGACAAUGGGGGCAACCCUGAUCCAGCAAUGCCGCGUGAGUGAUGAAGGCCUUAGGGUUGUAAAGCUCUUUUACCCGAGAUGAUAAUGACAGUAUCGGAGAUAAGCUCCGGCUAACUCCGUGCCAGCAGCCGC